This 209-nucleotide ribosomal RNA is filed under the name uncultured bacterium. RNAcentral describes it as "partial 16S ribosomal RNA". It matches the Rfam family "Bacterial small subunit ribosomal RNA", at positions 524 to 732 of the family's 1533-position model. The record is from RNAcentral.
UACGAAGGGUGCAAACGUUGCUCGGAAUUAUUGGGCGUAAAGCGCACGUAGGCGGCAUUGCAAGUCCCAUGUGAAAUCCCACGGCUUAACCGUGGAAGUGCAUGGGAAACUGCAGUGCUUGAGUACUUAAGAGGAUCGCGGAAUUCCCGGUGUAGAGGUGAAAUUCGUAGAUAUCGGGAAGGAACACCAGUGGCGAAGGCGGCGACUGG